AUGUCCGCGGCGCCCCACUCUUCGACAGCCGUGGAGACGCCGACGGCGACGGCGGUGGCGCCGGCGCCCCUCCCGCGGCUUCCGAACCCGCUGCCGCUGCCGCUGUUCGCCGAGCGCGGCGGGGGCGCGAGGCUACGCCACCACGCCUACAGCCGCAAGCAGAAGUCGCUCGGCCUGCUCUGCUCCAACUUCGUGGCCCUGUACGACCGGGACGGCGUGGAGUCCAUCGGGCUGGACGACGCAUCCAGGCGCCUCGGCGUCGAGAGGCGCCGGAUCUACGACAUCGUCAACGUGCUCGAGAGCGUCGGGAUCCUUGCGAGGAAGGCCAAGAACCGCUACUCCUGGAUAGGCUUCGGAGGGGUCCCGAUGGCGCUGCGAGAGCUCAAGGAGAGGGCAUUGAGAGAGAAGUCUGGCCUGGCUCCUCUGCCAGUGGAGGAGCUAUCUGCUGCCAAUAUGUCCGAUGACGAGGACGAUGAUAAGCUGGGUGAUCCGGAGGCCGAAACAGAGGGUGACAAGCUGAGCCAGACUGUUGACAAUCCUUCUGACAUGCCUGAUGCACCUCCCUGCCGGCUUAGAUCUGAUCAUAGGAAGGAGAAGUCUCUUGGGUUGCUCACUCAAAAUUUUGUGAAGCUGUUCCUCACCAUGGAGCAGGUUAGCACGAUCUCACUUGAUGAAGCUGCAAAGUUCCUCCUUGGGGAAGGCCAUGAGGAGUCCAAUAUGAGAACUAAAGUCCGGAGAUUAUAUGACAUUGCUAAUGUGCUGUCUUCACUGAAGCUCAUUGAAAAGACACAAGUGGACACAAGGAAGCCUGCAUUCCGGUGGUUGGGCAUGGCGGGGAAACCAAAAGCAGAAAAUGGUGUCACGGUUGUUGCAUCCCCAGCAAGGAAGACUCUGUCAAACAAGAGAGUCUUUGGAACUGAACUCACUAACAUUGGUAUAAAUAGAAGCCAGCUGGAACCAACAAUCCAGAAGAAAGCGAAGCUGGCACAGGGCGGUGCUGAUAUCUUGAAGAGCUACAACGUGGCCGCGCAGAAGCAGCCCGGGCAGGUUAACAAGAGUGGUUUUGUUUAUGGGCCUUUCCACCCUUCUUGUGCAAGAAAACAGGAGCCUGAUGACUGUAAUAAUUGGGAGAGCCUUGCCGAUUCAUUUCGACCGCAGUACCAGAACCCAGCACUUGGUGACCUUUUUGCUCAUUACGUGGAUGCGUGGAAGUCGUGGUACUCUGAAUUUUCGCAGGGUAGCGGCAUCAUGCAGCAACACUUGGGCAGUUCUGUUAAUAAUAAACGAUUUUUGUAG
Molecule: ribosomal RNA, 1296 nt
Filed under: Triticum aestivum (bread wheat)
Lineage: Eukaryota; Viridiplantae; Streptophyta; Magnoliopsida; Poales; Poaceae
Description: partial small subunit ribosomal RNA
Source: RNAcentral